UACAGAGGGGGCAAGCGUUGUUCGGAAUUACUGGGCGUAAAGGGCGCGUAGGCGGCCCUCUAAGUCAGACGUGAAAUCCCCGGGCUCAACCCGGGAACUGCGUCUGAUACUGGAGGGCUUGAAUCCGGGAGAGGGAUGCGGAAUUCCAGGUGUAGCGGUGAAAUGCGUAGAUAUCUGGAGGAACACCGGUGGCGAAGGCGGCAUCCUGGACCGGUAUUGACGCUGAGGCGCGAAAGCCAGGGGAGCAAACGGGAUUAGAUACCCCGGUAGUCCUGGCCCUAAACGAUGAAUGCUUGGUGUGGCGGGUAUCGAUCCCUGCCGUGCCGAAGCUAACGCAUUAAGCAUUCCGCCUGGGGAGUACGGUCGCAAGGCUG
RNAcentral lists this ribosomal RNA (374 nucleotides) under uncultured prokaryote. RNAcentral's name for it is "bacterial SSU rRNA". It matches the Rfam family "Bacterial small subunit ribosomal RNA", at positions 524 to 896 of the family's 1533-position model. The record is from RNAcentral.